AUGCAUAAAGAAAAAGAGAUAAGGCCCCUGCCUUUUCCCCCGGGACAAGCCCACCUGGCCGACCUAGCUCCCCCGCACCAGGUGCUCCCCUCCCCUGUUCCUCAGGCACACCCGACCGCGCCCGCAGUCGCCGCCGCACCCUCUCGUCGGCAGCGCCGGGAGAGGAUAAGGGCGCCACGCCUCUCCCCUCCUCCAGAUCCGCCUCUCGCCGACGCGCCCAACACCGUCCGCCUCACUCCGUUGCGGCCACCGGACACCUCCCGCCCCGCUGUCGUGUCCGCGAAGGCCUUCUCCAUCCGCUACAUCCUCCACGCCGAUGCACUAGAGCCGAAGGCCACGUACGACGCUUUCCCGAGACGUCUUCCUCCUCGGUACCUCGUCGUCGUCUCCAUCGACGCCGGUCGCCUCUGCGCCCCCGUUCACUCGAUGGGCCUCCUUGUGCCUCCUCGGAUGCGCAUCUAUUUGCCUUGGGACUUCGAUGUCUAUGCUACAGCGGGACGUCCUCGUCCCAGUGAGGCCGAGGAGAUCCCUAGCUACAUGCUACAGGAAAUACUGAUGAAGCUGCCGACCAAGGACGUGGCCCGCUGCUGCUGCGUCUCCAGGCACUGGCGCAGCGCCGUGAGAGACCCCACCUUCCGCAAGCUCCACGCAGCGAGCCCUGCCGCGCUGUCGGCGGAGCCCGAGUUCUUGCGCUUAUCCGGUGUACCAUGCGGGCUCGGCCAGAUUGUCAAGGCCAGUGUCUUCAGGUUAUCGUCGGACAAACCCAUGUGCACCGUCGCCAUCCCCGAGCGCUACUUCCUCCACAACAUCUGCAACGGCCUCGUCUGCUUCCUUGACAGGGACCGCAAAGGUCAGACGCCGGUGCUGGUGUGCAACCCCGUCACUGGCGAGACGCUGGCGCUUCCCGAGGCGCCUCCGCUCAGCAACAUGGACAAUGCGUAUCAUCUCUUUGCCUUGGGGUUCAGCCCGCCCACCAACGAGCACAAGCUGUUCCGCCUCUCUUUCCCGUCAUACUCGUACUCCUUCGAAGAGCGGGUGGAGGUGGGCGUCUACACCUUGGGCGACGCCCGCGGGUGGCGCAAACACUCAUUCCUCUCGCCCUUUAGCCCAUCAUCCAGAAGAAAUAACACUUCGGCGCCGGUGCUGAUCGAUGGUAAACUUCACAUGAUCACCAGACCGUGGAAUCGUGUACAUACCUACAGACCGACAGGAGUGCUGGUAGUGGACGUGCGUGCCGAAACGUGCCGCACUUACCCUCUCCCGAACGGUCUCGGGACCUUUCCAGAUGAGAAUCCGGUGACCUUUGAGCUCAAGGGGCAGCUGUGCUUCGCCGCACACGUGCGUGGCCGCUCCACGGUCCUCCGCUUCUGGGUCAUGGCCAUGGAGAACAAGGAGUUGGACGGCAAGAAGGAGCCGCACUGGGACUUGCGCUACAGCUUCUGCAUGGAAGGAGAACAUCGCUUCACCACCCGAAACCCGUGGAAUGCAUGGUUUGAACAUGAGAGUACACGCGCUAUGACACCUUGCACAUGUAUCCCAAGAGGUCGUCCGUUCCUGACCACGGUCGACUGUUACAACGGUGCAAGCAGCUCCAACGGAUAG
RNAcentral lists this ribosomal RNA (1602 nucleotides) under Triticum aestivum (bread wheat). Its description in RNAcentral is "partial small subunit ribosomal RNA". The record is from RNAcentral. Lineage: Eukaryota; Viridiplantae; Streptophyta; Magnoliopsida; Poales; Poaceae.